Poeciliopsis prolifica (blackstripe livebearer) is the source of this 422-nucleotide long non-coding RNA. RefSeq lists it as uncharacterized. The record is from RefSeq and is a predicted model, not a curated record. The transcript has 3 exons. NCBI's taxonomy places the organism in Eukaryota, Metazoa, Chordata, Actinopteri, Cyprinodontiformes, Poeciliidae.
CAAGUGUCACGAAGUAAACAUCUGAUUUUUACGUCAGCAAAAUUUAUCAACUGUAAAUUCCUUGUCUCUAAGCAGCAGGGAAUCGCAUGACAUUACAAGGCCAAUGCCUAAUAGCAAGAUGGGAGAAGAAGAAAAAUAUGAGCUGAUGGAUUGAUGAAUGGAGGGACUGAGUGAUGGAUGAAGCAGCAGACUCUGGACUCAAAUUUCAUCAACAAGAUGUAAGUGGCAGCAGUACCAGGAAACAAAACUGAGAAGAGGAGUGAACCUGGAAUUUGUAGACGCAGAACAGAACAGGUAAUGUUUCUUUGGAUGGUUUUUGUACUUCACAGAGAAACUCUCCGAGCAAAACAUAUUUCAGUGUAAUGAAGACUUGCAGCUGGGUUUUUGGAACUACAGCAGACCUUAAAUCAAAACCAAAUUGA